AGAGUUUGAUCAUGGCUCAGAUUGAACGCUGGCGGCAGGCCUAACACAUGCAAGUCGAGCGGUAGCACAGAGAGCUUGCUCUCGGGUGACGAGCGGCGGACGGGUGAGUAAUGUCUGGGAAACUGCCUGAUGGAGGGGGAUAACUACUGGAAACGGUAGCUAAUACCGCAUAACGUCGCAAGACCAAAGUGGGGGACCUUCGGGCCUCAUGCCAUCAGAUGUGCCCAGAUGGGAUUAGCUAGUAGGUGGGGUAACGGCUCACCUAGGCGACGAUCCCUAGCUGGUCUGAGAGGAUGACCAGCCACACUGGAACUGAGACACGGUCCAGACUCCUACGGGAGGCAGCAGUGGGGAAUAUUGCACAAUGGGCGCAAGCCUGAUGCAGCCAUGCCGCGUGUGUGAAGAAGGCCUUCGGGUUGUAAAGCACUUUCAGCGGGGAGGAAGGCGGUGAGGUUAAUAACCUCAUCGAUUGACGUUACCCGCAGAAGAAGCACCGGCUAACUCCGUGCCAGCAGCCGCGGUAAUACGGAGGGUGCAAGCGUUAAUCGGAAUUACUGGGCGUAAAGCGCACGCAGGCGGUCUGUCAAGUCGGAUGUGAAAUCCCCGGGCUUAACCUGGGAACUGCAUUCGAAACUGGCAGGCUAGAGUCUUGUAGAGGGGGGUAGAAUUCCAGGUGUAGCGGUGAAAUGCGUAGAGAUCUGGAGGAAUACCGGUGGCGAAGGCGGCCCCCUGGACAAAGACUGACGCUCAGGUGCGAAAGCGUGGGGAGCAAACAGGAUUAGAUACCCUGGUAGUCCACGCCGUAAACGAUGUCGAUUUGGAGGUUGUGCCCUUGAGGCGUGGCUUCCGGAGCUAACGCGUUAAAUCGACCGCCUGGGGAGUACGGCCGCAAGGUUAAAACUCAAAUGAAUUGACGGGGGCCCGCACAAGCGGUGGAGCAUGUGGUUUAAUUCGAUGCAACGCGAAGAACCUUACCUGGUCUUGACAUCCACAGAACUUUCCAGAGAUGGUUUGGUGCCUUCGGGAACUGUGAGACAGGUGCUGCAUGGCUGUCGUCAGCUCGUGUUGUGAAAUGUUGGGUUAAGUCCCGCAACGAGCGCAACCCUUAUCCUUUGUUGCCAGCGGUCCGGCCGGGAACUCAAAGGAGACUGCCAGUGAUAAACUGGAGGAAGGUGGGGAUGACGUCAAGUCAUCAUGGCCCUUACGACCAGGGCUACACACGUGCUACAAUGGCAUAUACAAAGAGAAGCGACCUCGCGAGAGCAAGCGGACCUCAUAAAGUAUGUCGUAGUCCGGAUUGGAGUCUGCAACUCGACUCCAUGAAGUCGGAAUCGCUAGUAAUCGUAGAUCAGAAUGCUACGGUGAAUACGUUCCCGGGCCUUGUACACACCGCCCGUCACACCAUGGGAGUGGGUUGCAAAAGAAGUAGGUAGCUUAACCUUCGGGAGGGCGCUUACCACUUUGUGAUUCAUGACUGGGGUGAAGUCGUAACAAGGUAACCGUAGGGGAACCUGCGGUUGGAUCACCU
RNAcentral lists this ribosomal RNA (1528 nucleotides) under Klebsiella pneumoniae. RNAcentral describes it as "bacterial SSU rRNA". It matches the Rfam family "Bacterial small subunit ribosomal RNA". The record is from RNAcentral. Lineage: Bacteria; Pseudomonadati; Pseudomonadota; Gammaproteobacteria; Enterobacterales; Enterobacteriaceae.